Molecule: ribosomal RNA, 441 nt
Filed under: uncultured bacterium
Lineage: Bacteria
Description: partial 16S ribosomal RNA
Rfam family: Bacterial small subunit ribosomal RNA
Source: RNAcentral
CCUACGGGUGGCAGCAGUGGGGGAUAUUGCACAAUGGGGGGAACCCUGAUGCAGCGACGCCGCGUGGGUGAAGGAGCGUUUCGGCGCGUAAAGCCCUAUCGGCAGGGAAGAAGGAGGACGGUACCUGACUAAGAAGCCCCGGCUAACUACGUGCCAGCAGCCGCGGUAAUACGUAGGGGGCAAGCGUUAUCCGGAUUUACUGGGUGUAAAGGGGGCGCAGACGGCAGCGCAAGCCAGGAGUGAAAGCCCGGGGCCCAACCCCGGGACUGCAUUUGGAACUGUGUGGCUGGAGUGUCGGAGAGGCAGGCGGAAUUCCUAGUGUAGCGGUGAAAUGCGUAGAUAUUAGGAGGAACACCAGUGGCGAAGGCGGCCUGCUGGACGAUGACUGACGUUGAGGCUCGAAAGCGUGGGGAGCAAACAGGAUUAGAUACCCUUGUAGUC